AAUACAUUUUGCUCACUUGUGACAUUAAAAUUAUGCAGUUAGAAAUCAAUCCAGUUCCUCUCAGUUCCAUUUUACUAAUAAAGCCUGAUUUGAAUUUCUGGGCUGGCUCACGAGGCCAAAAUCUAAGCUUGCCUCUACGGAUGUGCCUCACUCUUUCAACAUUUAAAUGACCUUUACCUCACAGCAAAAUUAUAGAUAAUGAGGGCAAAAUGAUGGCUUUAUUUGACAAAAUUGCUGUUUAUAUGAUUAUGUUAUUCUAUGUAUUUGACAAAAUUGUGUGUCCAUCUGUAUUUUUGCAUUUACUAUAAUAUAAUGACUUCUUAUAACUGUUUCAUAAAACCAUAAUGACAUGUUUCUAUAUCUUCUGCAGAAGGGUCACACACUUAUAAGAAACAAAUUAUGUACAGUGGUAUUAUGAAAGGCCAAAAAAAAGGAGUCGAAAAACUAAGAGAGGGAGAGAGAGACCUUGCAGAGCUCGUUUUAUGUAUAAAGAGAUUAGAUAAAAGCCGUGACAUGUUUUCACAAUUUGUUAUACAAAUAAACAGUCUCAUGUACCAAGUAAUAAAAUGAGCGUUACUGAAC
RNAcentral lists this long non-coding RNA (582 nucleotides) under Phoenix dactylifera (date palm). RNAcentral's name for it is "long non-coding RNA (PDAC_LNC009439)". The record is from RNAcentral. Lineage: Eukaryota; Viridiplantae; Streptophyta; Magnoliopsida; Arecales; Arecaceae.